GGGGCCGUAGCUCAAUCGGUUAGAGCGCCGGACUCAUAAUCCGUCGGUUCUGGGUUCGAAUCCCAGCGGCCCUA
This 74-nucleotide transfer RNA is filed under the name Pirellulales bacterium. RNAcentral describes it as "tRNA-Ile". It matches the Rfam family "tRNA". From Rfam's summary of the family: Transfer RNA (tRNA) molecules are approximately 80 nucleotides in length. Lineage: Bacteria; Pseudomonadati; Planctomycetota; Planctomycetia; Pirellulales. The record is from RNAcentral.